This is a long non-coding RNA of Erpetoichthys calabaricus (reedfish), 329 nucleotides long. RefSeq lists it as uncharacterized. The record is from RefSeq and is a predicted model, not a curated record. The transcript is spliced from 6 exons. NCBI's taxonomy places the organism in Eukaryota, Metazoa, Chordata, Cladistia, Polypteriformes, Polypteridae.
AGAUAGAUAGAUAAGUGAAAGGCACUAGAUAGAUAGAUAGAUAGAUAGAUAGAUAGAUAGAUAGAUAGAUAGAUAGAUAGAUAGAUAGAUAAGUGAAAGGCACUAUAUAAUAGAUAGAUAGAUAAAUAGAUAAGUGAAAGGCACUAUAUAAUAGAUAGAUAGAUAAAUAGAUAAGUGAAAGGCACUAUAUAAUAGAUAGAUAGAUAAAUAGAUAAGUGAAAGGCACUAUAUAAUAGAUAGAUAGAUAAAUAGAUAAGUGAAAGGCACUAUAUAAUAGAUAGAUAGAUAAAUAGAUAAGUGAAAGGCACUAUAUAAUAGAUAGAUAGAUA